CCUGCUCAGGAUGAACGCUAGCGGCAGGCUUAACACAUGCAAGUCGAGGGGUAUAGUUCUUCGGAAUUAGAGACCGGCGCACGGGUGCGUAACGCGUAUGCAAUCUACCUUUUGCAGAGGGAUAGCCCAGAGAAAUUUGGAUUAAUACCUCAUAGUAUAGCAGUUUCGCAUGAAACCACUAUUAAAGUCACAACGGCAAAAGAUGAGCAUGCGUCCCAUUAGCUAGUUGGUAAGGUAACGGCUUACCAAGGCUACGAUGGGUAGGGGUCCUGAGAGGGAGAUCCCCCACACUGGUACUGAGACACGGACCAGACUCCUACGGGAGGCAGCAGUGAGGAAUAUUGGACAAUGGGCGCAAGCCUGAUCCAGCCAUGCCGCGUGCAGGAUGACGGUCCUAUGGAUUGUAAACUGCUUUUGUACAGGAAGAAACACUCCCUCGUGAGGGAGCUUGACGGUACUGUAAGAAUAAGGAUCGGCUAA
RNAcentral lists this ribosomal RNA (480 nucleotides) under Flavobacterium sp. BF.46. RNAcentral describes it as "bacterial SSU rRNA". It matches the Rfam family "Bacterial small subunit ribosomal RNA", at positions 19 to 500 of the family's 1533-position model. The record is from RNAcentral. Lineage: Bacteria; Pseudomonadati; Bacteroidota; Flavobacteriia; Flavobacteriales; Flavobacteriaceae.